RNAcentral lists this ribosomal RNA (507 nucleotides) under uncultured Glomus from Thlaspi calaminare. RNAcentral's name for it is "SSU rRNA". It matches the Rfam family "Eukaryotic small subunit ribosomal RNA", at positions 569 to 1078 of the family's 1831-position model. Lineage: Eukaryota; Fungi; Glomeromycota; Glomeromycetes; Glomerales; Glomeraceae. The record is from RNAcentral.
AGCAGCCGCGGUAAUUCCAGCUCCAAUAGCGUAUAUUAAAGUUGUUGCAGUUAAAAAGCUCGUAGUUGAAUUUCGGGAUCAAAUUGUCGGUCGUGCCUUGGUACGUACUGGUAUUAUAGGUUCCUACCUUCUGAAGAACCGCGAUGUCAUUAAUUUGGUGUCGUGGGGAAUCAGGACUGUUACUUUGAAAAAAUUAGAGUGUUUAAAGCAGGCUUACGCUUGAAUACAUUAGCAUGGAAUAAUGAAAUAGGACGUUUGAUUCUAUUUUGUUGGUUUCUAGGAUUGACGUAAUGAUUAAUAGGGAUAGUUGGGGGCGUUAGUAUUCAAUUGUCAGAGGUGAAAUUCUUGGAUUUAUUGAAGACUAACUACUGCGAAAGCAUUUGCCAAGGAUGUUUUCAUUAAUCAAGAACGAAAGUUAGGGGAUCGAAGACGAUCAGAUACCGUCGUAGUCUUAACCAUAAACUAUGCCGACUAGGGAUCGGAUGAUGUUAAUUUUUUAAUGACUCA